GGGUCUAAUCCUGUAGUGUACACUGAUUAUCUGCCAGGUUUCUCAGAAUGAUCAGGGAAAGUUGAAAACAGAACCACUUAAUUCAUUUAAAGAUCAAAAGGGUGUGCAUAUGAUAUGAUUUCAUUAAGAAUUAAAUAAUCCACAUGAUUUCAAGGUUAAUGAGAAAAAACUACCCAACAUAUCUGCUUAAAAUUCCCAGAAGGCAUUUGAAUGAGGAAUAAAGGCCUUUAAGAACAGACUCUACUAGGUUUAAUAAGAAGUGAUUUCCCCUAAUUGCAAUUUCCUUGAAAAAGAUAUUCAAGGCCUCAGAGUUUGACAGAUUGUAGCAAAGAACUGGUGUAGGAUGUUCAACUGGACAAAAAAAUGGGAGUUUUGAAUUCAGCAAGCUCUACGAUCUCUUGAAUAGAACCUACCAAUUUUACUCUGUGCAGUGCAGGCCCUCGAAAAUAUCAAAUAAAGUUGAAGAGCAAAAUGUGUAGAAAUUACUUAAUUUGUUGAUUACAAUGGUUUUUCCCAUUAGGUCUAUUACUCAAGAACGAGGUUAAUGACCUUGCAGGAGUCAGGAAGAAGCAAGAGACACUUCAGGGAGCUCAGAAUACAAAGCCUGAGGAUGAGAAGAGCAUGAUAAGAGAGCCGCACUCAGCUCAAAGGUGGAGACAUCAUGACAAGGUGAUCUCAGGAGCAAACACGGGGAUUCUGCACUCACUAUGAAGACGCUGAGGUUAAGAAACAAGUAACUGCUAUGAGAUCAUAAAGAAAACGCAUAAGUGGUAGAAACAAUUAGAAAAGAGAUGCUUUGAUUUUAAGUUGCAAGUGCUCUUCAUUCCACAAAGAUACUGGAAAUGGCUUGAAGCAGGGUCCAUGGAGUAUCUUCUCUAAACUCUCCACAGCACCUUAUAAUGCUCCUAAUGCAUAAUGAAACUUAAAUAAAUCUUACUGAAUUAAAAAGAAAGAAAAAACAUGAGAGGAAGUCAUCGAGAAUGGAGAGAGGGAGAGAAACAGAAAUAGAAGAAAGAUUAUAAAGAUGAAAAGGACAAGAAGAACAGUCCAUAUUUAUAAAAUAUUUUAGAAGAAAAAUAAAAUUUCCUUCUACGUGCUGUCAGGACAUGCUUUUUAAUUUGUGGAAGUCACACACUGCAGAUGUUGCCUUCCGGGUUGCUGGUCGGAUCACCAUGACAAAGGCGCUGCCUCAUCUAUAAAUAGACAGUCAGAUUGAUUUCACAUCCUGCCCUGGUUCUUCCGACUGCCUGAUGGGCGUGACAGCACAAUCGAUGAGUGAUCCCAUCCACUCUGACUGCACAGGCCUCGCCUGCACUGUCUUCUGGAAG
RNAcentral lists this long non-coding RNA (1328 nucleotides) under Papio anubis (olive baboon). RNAcentral describes it as "lncRNA (ENSPANG00000045975.1)". The record is from RNAcentral. Lineage: Eukaryota; Metazoa; Chordata; Mammalia; Primates; Cercopithecidae.